Molecule: long non-coding RNA, 471 nt
Organism: Thalassophryne amazonica
Lineage: Eukaryota; Metazoa; Chordata; Actinopteri; Batrachoidiformes; Batrachoididae
Exons: 4
Source: RefSeq, a predicted model, not a curated record
GGAUGCUUAGCGUUUUGGCGCAUGUGCAGAAGGCACACAGCGGCAGGUCACUAAACUUGUUAGGGUGUAUCGACGUAAUUCAUUCUGGAGUUUAUUCAAGACACUGGAGGGGAAGGAAAGCAAUUUGAUGACAAGCACCAGUAGACUGACGGGAGGAGAUGUAUGCAGCAGUGUGCAUCAUGUCUUCAGUAACAGGCUAUGUGCUCACCUCUGCACUGCUGCUGAAAUAUCCAACUCUUUUUGCACCGAAAGAAACGAGAGACUUUCGUCAGUAGGCACAUUUCUCAUCGUGGAGGAGCAGGUGAACACCUGGAAAACACCAUGACUGCUUUCAAGCAUGCUGUGGAUCUUGGCACAGACAUGCUGGAGUUGGACUGUCGCCUGACAAAAGAUGGACAAGUGGUGGUUUCACAUGAUGCAAACUUGCACAGGUCCACUGGCAUCAAUGCCUACAUCUCGGACAUGGCCUAC